CAGCAUAAGGAGGUGAGAAACUAACAAUCCAAAACGCUUAGCCGAAAAUAUCCGUUACCUAUCAUGGUUAUCUGGGUUGAAGCGAUUUCGGAUGGGUAUCGCUUUCCACAAUGGCCUAAAGGAAAAGAGAAACGAGCCCUGAAUCACUGUGGUAGCGCCUCGCCAGAGUCGCAUUCGCAUGCCCCGCUACGCUAAAUCUUAGGCUUGAUAACCCUGUCUGCGAAUCACGGCGCCGUUUGGCUUGUCCAGGACACAAUUGGCUCUGACAGAACGAAGGGCUCUACGCAGUAAAGACCUUGGACAAAGAUUCGACUCUUCGCAGGGAGGCUGUCCCGCAAAAUUCGCAAAUCAUCGCAUUACCACAAACUAUCAAGCAGAUAUUGUUGAUGAUAUGUGUAUAAACCCCAGUGAGGGAGUGGUUUGGUGACAGAUCAAAGAAUCUGGUCUAUUUUCCUAUCUAUAGCGAUUAUGAGGGGUAUAUCGAUACGACUUGAUGGAAGCAGAUGGAAUUUGAGGCAGCAUGAUUUGAGUAAUAAUUGAAAGGGUUUUGGAUUUCCGUGAAUAUGAUUGGCAUGCUGAAGCUUCAAGAACAAUUAGCUGAUCGCCCAGUUGGAAGACGGGUUGUUUACGGCACGGCACGUCUGGUAGUCAAGGAGAUCUCACAACGACUCCUGUCCUGUUUUGAAACCUGAUAGGCAGCCUAUAUUAAAGGAUUACUUGAUCAUGCAAGUAACUUACUUUAGUCUGGGGCGCGGCAUAGCGAGGUGACAAACAACGAGCAAAUCGAGUCAACCUAUGAAGCGGCAUUGAACCCUUGUAGCAGCACCCAUACUUUCGACCCGUGACUUUAUAAGUCGAGAAUGAAUGGCUAACCCUCGGAGCGCAAAAAAAACAUAGGCGUUGAGACUGGCUGAGAGAUGCAAGCGGAGUCACGAAAUUCCGGCAAUCUGUAUAUUGCGAUGGACUUU
RNAcentral lists this small RNA (968 nucleotides) under Histoplasma capsulatum. RNAcentral's name for it is "hypothetical RNA". The record is from RNAcentral. RNAcentral also lists the same sequence under 1 other name. Lineage: Eukaryota; Fungi; Ascomycota; Eurotiomycetes; Onygenales; Ajellomycetaceae.